Planococcus citri (citrus mealybug) is the source of this 773-nucleotide long non-coding RNA. RefSeq lists it as uncharacterized. The record is from RefSeq and is a predicted model, not a curated record. The transcript is spliced from 3 exons. Lineage: Eukaryota; Metazoa; Arthropoda; Insecta; Hemiptera; Pseudococcidae.
ACGUAAAAAUUCCACAAGGGAAUGAUCACGUAACAGCCAAGAAUCAUUUUGUGGAAUUUUAACGCGAAAAUUUGAGUAAAAUCUCAAAAUUUUGAAAAAUAACGCUAUUCAAAGCGUUACGCGUUACGUUACGGGCAAAAACGUGAGCCACCGCAUCCGCAUGUACUCAGACGGAAUAACACCGGCGAAAAUGUGCUCUUAUCACCAUUUCAUCACUUCGAAGGAAAGUUUGAUUAAUUUAGAAGUUGUUCUUAGCAAAGUUGUACUUUUGAGUAAUUAAAGGCUACGUUGAAAUUAACUAACGUGUUAAUACACUCUUUAGCGAUUUCUACAGUGCCAGCUGUAUUGAAACGAAAAAAUGGAAGCGGAAAUGAACAACGGUGACCAUAACAACCACGAGCACACUAUCGCCAACCAACGAAUCCGUCAAACCUGCAAAAUUACAAAAAGACAUGGCGAAAUAUAUCGGAAAUGCUACGUGCAAAAUGGUAACGGUCCAGAAACGAUGAAAUGGAUCAAGUUAGAGUUCCUGCAAUGGUGGGACGAGCUGACUGAAAAUACGGAUCAUUACGAAGAGUAACUAGUUAAUACGAUAACGACGGCGUAGAAACUCCAGCGAAUCGACGUAUUUGCGGGUGAAUCAGCGCACCAGAUUGCGACGAAUGAAACACAUACAAGAUGUGAUCAUUGUCGUGAUAAUUUUAGUCAUAUCAUAUUAAUUUGCAUUUUCGUACUUGUCUUUCAUACCUUAAAUAUAGAUGUAUUAUAUACUG